This 1202-nucleotide ribosomal RNA is filed under the name Stenomelania sp. RNAcentral describes it as "partial 16S ribosomal RNA". It matches the Rfam family "Bacterial large subunit ribosomal RNA", at positions 582 to 2582 of the family's 2925-position model. The record is from RNAcentral. Lineage: Eukaryota; Metazoa; Mollusca; Gastropoda; Thiaridae.
CACUUCUUCUUUAAUCUAUUCUUAGUAAUAUCACUGUUUUUCGAAGCAUCAAUUUAAUUAGUAGUUGCGAUCAAAAAUUAUUAGUAAAAUGUUUUCAGUACCGUGAGGGAAAAGGAAUUUUUUAAAUGAUAGUAGUCAAAUAUCACGUACUUUUUGCAUCACGACCUAGCAAGUAAAAAGUAAAAAUUUAUCUUCUCGAAGAUCUGUGAGCUAUCUUAUUUUUGUUUUUAGAACAAAGUUAUUCUAAAUGUUGCAAAAUUUAAAUAAAAAAAUAAGAUAGAGAUGAUAUUUCUUUCGCACUGAUGAUAGCUAGUUUUCUUAGAAAUGUGUCAAAGUACACAAUGAACACAAAGUUAAAAGUGAUUAGACCUCCAUUGCUAAUUUGAGUUCUAUUGGACUUUUUUGAGGAUAAGCUCGAAAAUUGUUGUUGAGAACUAUAUAAUUUAAAUUUAUUGUGUAGGCCUAAAAUUAGCCAUCACAAGAGUUUGUUAUAAAACAAUAAAAACACAUAAAAAUAUUAUUAUAUAUAACACCACUAUAAAACUAUAAGAACAAUAAUCUGAACUAAAAGAUUAAUGUGCCUAUGCUAGGAUGAGUAUUAUUAACCGCUUAGACUGGAAAAUGAAGUAUUUCUUAGGAAAACAUUUUUUACAUAAAUUAAAGAGAAGGAAUUCGGCAAAUGUUGUUUCGCCUGUUUAUCAAAAACAUGGCUCUUUGAAAAAAGUAUAUAAAGAGUCGAACCUGCCCAGUGAAUAAUUUUUAACGGCCGCGGUACCCUGACCGUGCAAAGGUAGCAUAAUCAUUUGCCUUAUAAUUGAAGGCUGGCAUGAAUGGUCUGACGAGAGCAACACUGUCUCCUCUUUAUUAUCUAAAAAUUAACCUAUAGGUGAAGAGGCCUAUAUAAAAUUGAAGGACAAGAAGACCCUGUCGAGCUUAAAAGAAAAGUAGAGGUUAAGUUAUCAAAAGAGAUCAAUAAACUAUUACAUAGCUUUUUAGUUGGGGCGACUAAGGAACAAAUAAAGCUUCUUUUAUUUUUAUAGAUUUAUGGAUUCGGAUCCAGCAAAGCUGAUCAGAAAAAUUAGUUACCGCAGGGAUAACAGCAUAAUCUCCUUUGAGAGACCUAAUCGAAAAGGGGGGUUGUGACCUCGAUGUUGGACUAGAAUAUCCUGAAGAUGCAGACGUCUUCGAAGGUUGGUCUGUUC